GGCCCCUUCGUCUAGCGGUUAGGACGCUGCCCUCUCAAGGCAGAGAUCACGGGUUCGACUCCCGUAGGGGCCGCCA
Molecule: transfer RNA, 76 nt
Filed under: Elusimicrobiota bacterium
Lineage: Bacteria; Pseudomonadati; Elusimicrobiota
Description: Elusimicrobia bacterium (groundwater metagenome) tRNA-Glu
Rfam family: tRNA
About the family: Transfer RNA (tRNA) molecules are approximately 80 nucleotides in length. Their secondary structure includes four short double-helical elements and three loops (D, anti-codon, and T loops).
Source: RNAcentral